Molecule: long non-coding RNA, 613 nt
Organism: Salvia splendens (bonfire salvia)
Lineage: Eukaryota; Viridiplantae; Streptophyta; Magnoliopsida; Lamiales; Lamiaceae
Exons: 2
Source: RefSeq, a predicted model, not a curated record
UUUAUGGAAUUAUCAUUUAAGCUUAAAUAUAUAAUUUAAAUACUACAAUCUAGACAUUUAAGAAUAAAAACUUUCUCAUCAUAAUAUAAGAAAUAACGUGUCCCCUAUAAAGUCUUGACCCCACCAAUCAAUGAAAUUAAUUAUUCAGUUUUUUUAACGUUUUAUUCUUCAUAUUUAUAGGUUUUGAUUGUAGGAAGUUAAUUCCUUUUAUUUUAAUUAUAAGUGGAGGAAGUGAAAGGUUUUGAAAGAAAUUAACUUCUAAUUUCUACUAUAAAUAUAUAGCAUUUGAUAGCUUAUAAUCCACACAUUUCUAUCUUUUUCUCAUUACAUUCUUUGUUGAACAUUUUGCAGAGAUUUGAUCAAAUUUUAGGUAUACUUUUGCCUUGAGAAAGCUUCAAAAGUAACAGUUCUGCACCAAGAUAUGAAUCCACAACCUGUUGGUUUGAAAAAAUAGAUAUUAUCAUAUGGGAAGACAUAAUUUAGUUGGAGAUUUGCGGCUAUUCAGUUUUACCUUACUUAACUCGUAGAAUUAUUGCAUCACCGAUUACUCAGUAUGCAUGAAAUUAUAAACAAUUCAAGAUAUUGACAGACUGGUUUACCUCUCUUGCUUUCA